Molecule: ribosomal RNA, 497 nt
Filed under: uncultured bacterium
Lineage: Bacteria
Description: partial 16S ribosomal RNA
Rfam family: Bacterial small subunit ribosomal RNA
Source: RNAcentral
GAUGAACGCUGGCGGCGUGCCUAAUACAUGCAAGUAGAACGCUGAAGGAAGGAGCUUGCUCUUUCCGGAUGAGUUGCGAACGGGUGAGUAACGCGUAGGUAACCUGCCUGGUAGCGGGGGAUAACUAUUGGAAACGAUAGCUAAUACCGCAUAACAGUAGAUGCUGCAUGAUAUCUACUUAAAAGGUGCAAUUGCACCACUACCAGAUGGACCUGCGUUGUAUUAGCUAGUUGGUGAGGUAACGGCUCACCAAGGCGACGAUACAUAGCCGACCUGAGAGGGUGAUCGGCCACACUGGGACUGAGACACGGCCCAGACUCCUACGGGGGGCAGCAGUAGGGAAUCUUCGGCAAUGGACGGAAGUCUGACCGAGCAACGCCGCGUGAGUGAAGAAGGUUUUCGGAUCGUAAAGCUCUGUUGUAAGAGAAGAACGAGUGUGAGAGUGGAAAGUUCACACUGUGACGGUAUCUUACCAGAAAGAGACGGCUAACUACGUG